RNAcentral lists this ribosomal RNA (442 nucleotides) under uncultured bacterium. RNAcentral describes it as "partial 16S ribosomal RNA". It matches the Rfam family "Bacterial small subunit ribosomal RNA", at positions 338 to 795 of the family's 1533-position model. The record is from RNAcentral.
CCUACGGGUGGCAGCAGUAGGGAAUCUUUCACAAUGGGCGAAAGCCUGAUGGAGCAACGCCGCGUGCAGGAUGAAGGCCUUCGGGUUGUAAACUGCUUUUAUAAGCGAGAAAUAUGAUGGUAACUUAUGAAUAAGGAUCGGCUAACUACGUGCCAGCAGCCGCGGUCAUACGUAGGAUCCGAGCAUUAUCCGGAGUGACUGGGUGUAAAGAGUUGCGUAGGUGGCAUAAUAAGUAGCUAGUGAAAUCUGGUGGCUCAACCAUUCAGACUAUUAGCUAAAAUGUUAAGCUCGAGACCGUUAGGGGUAACUGGAAUGUCUAGUGUAGGAGUGAAAUCCGUAGAUAUUAGAAGGAACACCAAUAGCGUAGGCAGGUUGCUGGGACGGUUCUGACACUAAGGCACGAAAGCGUAGGGAGCAAACGGGAUUAGAUACCCCUGUAGUC